RNAcentral lists this ribosomal RNA (253 nucleotides) under uncultured bacterium. RNAcentral's name for it is "partial 16S ribosomal RNA". It matches the Rfam family "Bacterial small subunit ribosomal RNA", at positions 524 to 776 of the family's 1533-position model. The record is from RNAcentral.
UACGAAGGGGGCUAGCGUUGUUCGGAAUUACUGGGCGUAAAGCGCACGUAGGCGGAUCUUUAAGUCGGGGGUGAAAUCCCGGAGCUCAACUCCGGAACUGCCUUCGAUACUGAGGAUCUUGAGUCCGGGAGAGGUGAGUGGAACUGCGAGUGUAGAGGUGAAAUUCGUAGAUAUUCGCAAGAACACCAGUGGCGAAGGCGGCUCACUGGCCCGGUACUGACGCUGAGGUGCGAAAGCGUGGGGAGCAAACAGG